This 120-nucleotide ribosomal RNA is filed under the name Mus spicilegus (steppe mouse). The record is from RNAcentral. Lineage: Eukaryota; Metazoa; Chordata; Mammalia; Rodentia; Muridae.
GUCUAUGACUAUACCAGACUGAAUGCACCUGAUCUUGUCUGAUCUUGGAAGCUAAGCAGGGUCAGGCCUGGUUAAUACUUGGAUGAGAGACAGCAUGGAAAAGACACCGUCAAUAAGACA